UACAGGGGGUGCAAACGUUGCUCGGAAUCAUUGGGCGUAAAGCGCACGUAGGCGGUCUGUUAUGUCGGAUGUGAAAGCCCUCGGCUCAACUGAGGAAGUGCAUCCGAAACUGGCAGGCUAGAGUACUAAAGAGGGUCGCGGAAUUCCCGGUGUAGAGGUGAAAUUCGUAGAUAUCGGGAGGAACACCGGUGGCGAAGGCGGCCACCUGGACCAGCACUGACACUGAGGCACGAAAGCGUGGGGAGCAAACAGG
RNAcentral lists this ribosomal RNA (253 nucleotides) under uncultured bacterium. RNAcentral's name for it is "partial 16S ribosomal RNA". It matches the Rfam family "Bacterial small subunit ribosomal RNA", at positions 524 to 776 of the family's 1533-position model. The record is from RNAcentral.